This 332-nucleotide ribosomal RNA is filed under the name uncultured eukaryote. RNAcentral's name for it is "partial 18S ribosomal RNA". It matches the Rfam family "Eukaryotic small subunit ribosomal RNA", at positions 1470 to 1796 of the family's 1831-position model. The record is from RNAcentral.
CCCUUAGAUGUUCUGGGCUGCACGCGCGCUACACUGGAAGUUACGGAUUGAGAUACUACCUUGUCCGAAAUGGUCCGGGUAAUCACCUAAAAGCUUGUCAUAAUUGGAAUGGAUUAUUGUAACUAGUAAUCCUGAACGAGGAAUUCCUAGUAAGUCCCAGUCAACAGCUGGUACUGAUUACGUCCCUGCCCUUUGUACACACCGCCCGUCGCUACUACUGAUUGGACGUUUAAGCAAGAUUUUUAAACACUGACAGUGUGUAGUUCACGCUAUACUACAGUGGGAAGAAGAAGAUCGAGCUUACUUGUCUAGAGGAAGUAAAAGUCGUAACA